AUGCCUACCGCAAGGAAAGAGGAUUGGGUCACCGUCCAAAGAGCCGUGAGGAUCGACACUACGGGUCUUAGAGGCUCAGGGGUCAAUCCCCCCCCCCCCAGCCUCUGUCACCAGGACCUCCCUCCUGCCUUGGACUGUGGCCAGCUCCAGGACCACGUGGGAGGGUUCCCGGGGGGAGGGGACUCAAACCCGAGACUAGGGCCUCCCGCCUCGAACCCCCCAGCCCGGGCUGUGGGCCUCUGGCCAAAGCCGGGUCUUCUCUGUUUGCGGAAAGGGGAACUAGGGUCCGGGGCAGACCCAGAGGCUCUUGUCCUCGGCCAGGCCCGCCCUCUUCUGGGCCCAACCCCCAAAGGCCCCGCGGGACUCUGGGUCUCACGAAGCUCCCCUUUGCCCCGGCGCCGGGCACCGUCUCGCGGACGCAUCCCUGGGCUGGACGGACGCGCGGGACCUCGAGGCGCCGCGCGCAUCUUCCCUUCUGGAUGGGCGACGAUUCUAGAAACCGACCGGAAAGGAAGAAGGUGGCCCGACCCGACCUUGCGCGGGGCCCCCGGGGCGCUGGGGGUCCCCCUCCCGUCCUGCGGCGGGUUCUCUGGGUCUCCCCGUCCACGCCGCGCCGCCAGCCCUAAAGCGAGGUGUGGGACGCGGUGGAGGGUACGCGGCGUGGGGGCAGGGAGAGACGUUGAGAAUUUGAAAGAGACCGGUCGGGGAUUUGGACCCCGAGCGCUCGCCGGCGCAGCGGACUCAUCCUCCAGGGCCAUCUUUUCCCACUCAACACCAGUGACCUUGACCUCCACGAUCCCGUGCUCCCAGUCUGAAAAGGGUCCCGAGGGACGGAGGGCGGGAGGGCUGAGGGAGCCUCGGUUCCCAUCCCAGAGCUGGAAGGGAAGGAGGCGCGUUGGCACUGCUGAGGCCUGCGUGCUGCCUCCCGGGGCCGAGCGACCGUGGGGUUUUAGGGACUCGGUGCCUGCGUGGCACCGGCUUCCCAGCGCUGCCCGGGCCCCCUGGGCCUCCUUCUGUUUGUCCUUUUGGGUCAGAGUGUCCCCAUCCCUGCCCACGGCCUUGAAUUUCGGGUUCCACCCCCCUUCCUCCCUUGCUGCUUUCAAUUCUGAGGUUCUCAGUCAGUUUCGGGCUGGAACAGAGGAAUCGUGUCGGAGGCGGCACUGGUCACAGGGGCGGGGCUGCGGUGAGGGGGAGGCCGUCUUGCCCCAGCGCUGCCUCCCUUUUCCUUUGAAGGAGCCAGAAGGUGCCAUGCCCGGCUAG
Molecule: long non-coding RNA, 1260 nt
Filed under: Felis catus (domestic cat)
Lineage: Eukaryota; Metazoa; Chordata; Mammalia; Carnivora; Felidae
Description: lncRNA (ENSFCAG00000049550.1)
Source: RNAcentral